Dermacentor andersoni is the source of this 1820-nucleotide non-coding RNA. The record is from RefSeq and is a predicted model, not a curated record. Lineage: Eukaryota; Metazoa; Arthropoda; Arachnida; Ixodida; Ixodidae.
CUGCCUGUGCAUUUCCAAAGCGAAUCUAGGCUUGCAUUUGCGCAAAAUGUGGAGUUUUUCAACAGUAGAUUUGGAUUUCUGUAUGUAGAACAGAACACAUAACAUUAACACCAAAGGUAUUUUGUUAUUCUACAUUGCAACCUUAGUAUUGGGUAUUUAUUUGAGUGCAAAUACCUUUUGCCAUACCCUGUAGUUGCCAAAUACAAUUAAUCUAGAUUGAUGUAGCAGUGCAAUGCAGUGCGAAGUGGACGAGAUUAGUUUAUAUAUUGAUUUGAAGCCUCGUGCAUGUAUUCUUGAGGCUCGUGUUUCUAUAUGGCAUUGUGUUUGAAAUCUUACAGCUGUGCUCGAUUGUUGCUUUGCUUUCUUUGUAGCUCACCAAGCGAGAGCUCUAGAUGGAAUCACAUGUUCUUCGCACUUCCUUUAUAUGUGCAAUACAACCAGUGCAGCUUUAUAACACAAUUAUCACUAAAAGAACACUCUCCCUGUGUGCCACAACAGACAUUCCUUAGAGCUAAUUUCUGUAAUUAAAGUUAAUGAGACAUUACACAGGUGAAAUGUAAGCACAGCUUUAUUGCAGCAACUUCUCAUCUGGCAGAUUAACUUACGACUGUAUCGCGGUGCAUACUCAAAGAUAGUGCAAAUGGAUAAAUUCAGCUUAUGCUCCUGUCGCACACUUAAGAAAAGUGAACAAUCGUAAAAAGUUUGCAGCGUUUCAAUAGCACUGGAUACCUUGUUUUGCGAAUCAAAGAUAGAGGAUUUAAUAUCGGUUUCUGCAGGUACACUGCAUUAUCUAAAACAAGACAGCACCAGAAUCUACUCGCAAGUAUGAAAUAGUAGCACCGCAUGUCUCGUGACAUGCAGCAAGUGCAAGUAGUUGUAAUGUCACACUCUGCACCUCAAUAUGGCAGCCUCGCGCAGGCAGCUCGCGUUUAUGCCAAAGAGCCUUCAUCACAGACGUCCAGAAAGCGCUUCCCCUAAUGCAAAUAACCAUUAGGAAUACAAGUAGGUGCCAUUUCUGAAGUGCUACCAGUGAAUAUGUCACUGUGCGGUUAUCCUCUGGCCUCGUUUUAUCCUGGCUUGCCAAUGAAAUAUUGUUAUUGGUUGUCAUUGCAAGGCAGUUGGUGUCUUUGCAAAUCACCAACUAAAGAUGGUUGCAUCUAUUUACAUCCAGCAUUAACCAUUACACAUGCACUACAAAUGGCUUCAUAUCGCUUACUUUAAGGAAAGUGCAAACACCUAAACAACUGUUAAUACUGCUUGUAUUGCUUGUAGGCCCACAUAGAACCGAUUAAAAUGAAAGUGCAAAGAUUUAGAUACAGUACACAAUACAGAAGAAAAAGAAUGAGGCCACAUCUUUAGUGAUGCUGUCUUAUUUUGAUUUUUUUAAAAUUCACGUCGUCAACAAAAAAAUAGCUCCAGCAGUGACAAAAUGUUUAACUACUGACCAUUGCAGAGCAGAAUUAUCGAAUUCCCGACCGACACAGCUAGUAGUCUACACUUUAUUAAAGUAAGGGUUGGUCUGUGUGCAGUGUUGAUGAUGUAUGUACUAUACAAUACACAAAGUGAGACCGCAUUUUUGAAAACACACGUUUAUAGUACUUUAUGUCUAGAAUCAUUUGGCUAAGUGGCCCUUCAAACUUGUCUUGAAUAUUACAGAUAAAGGCAACAUGACUGCGGCUGGGACAAGUAAAGCAGCAAGAUUUGAUUGCCACCUACCUAUCCAAACAAUGCAGCAUUCACUUGGUUCAACACGCUUAAAAGGACGCUAAAGAGAAAUGUUCAGUGAAAAUAGAUUAAUAAAUUACAUUACUGGAAUGCAA